RNAcentral lists this long non-coding RNA (2850 nucleotides) under Gossypium barbadense (sea-island cotton). Its description in RNAcentral is "long non-coding RNA (GBAR_LNC004024)". The record is from RNAcentral. Lineage: Eukaryota; Viridiplantae; Streptophyta; Magnoliopsida; Malvales; Malvaceae.
UCAAAUUGAAAAAAAAAAUUAGAAAAAUAAAUGGAAACCGAAAAAACAAUUAAUAGCCUAGGAAAAGUAAACCUAAUCUACCCAUUAUUCACACUUCAACACCUGGAAACCAUUAGUCUUGCACGACUUGUCUUAUUGUCUUUCUCAUCCAUUCCAUUUGUCUGUCGAUAGCUCUGCCCAAGGAUACUUUCUUUGCUAUCCUAUUUUGAAAAACAAAUUUCUCCUAAUCCAUUAGUCUGGAUUCAUUACCCGUUGUUCUACUUCACCACCAGUGCGCCGAAUCAGUUCUUCGCUCUCCAGGUAUGUAUUCUCUCCUUUCUUCAAUGAUUCACUUGCGAUAUUAUGAGCUCUCCUAUUCUCUGUUCUCUGAAUGUAUUUGAACUCGAUCUUUUGAAAGCAUGAUUUCUUGCUGUGGAUGUCUCUAAUAAUUGCUCCGAUAAUUGAGUAAUCCCUUGUUGUUGACUGGCAUUUUUGAAUUACUGUUCUUGAGUCACAUAAUAUCUGAUUUUCCUGAAAACCCAUUUCAUUCCUAACUUUACUGCAUCCAAUCCUGCAUGUGCCUCUGCUGCGAACGGAGAUGCAAUAUUGGCAUGAAUGAUUGACUUCAAAACCAGAAACUCGUUUCUUGUACCCCAAAUCACCAGCCUGACGCCGAUCUGUGCUUUUUGUAGUCAAACGCCGCAUCAAAUUAAAUCUUCACCAUCGGUACGUCUUCCCUCACACUUUGUUUAUUGACUGUGUUUGUUAAAAUCUUUUUUGCUCUAAUCCCCUCAAACUCUGUCAUAUGAUUCCGAAUCUGUUACGUGAUGCUUUCACUUGUUGUGUUUAUCUUCUUAUGCAACAGUUGAUUCCUUGAAAACCAGAACAUCCAUAAGGCAAAACAAAAAUAUCUGCAUUGUUCCUCCGACCUUUGUUUGAAAACCUCGGUAAGCCAUUCCCAGAAAUUAAGUUGAAAAAUAUCUGUGACCCAUGAUAAAUUUACUAACUGCCAAACUUCAAUGCUUAUAGGGCAUUGCUUGAGGAUGUGAUGACAGUCUUCCACUUCAUAGCCACAACGAGGGCAUCUGGCGUUGGACACUAUUCUUCUAUGUCUGAGAUUUCCCAAAGUGGUAAUAUAAUUCCAGGAUAUGCACCAGAUUGUAAUUGUAACUUUAGGUGGUAGUUGCAGAUUCCAUAAUUCUCUAAAAAAGUCUUUAGAUUCAGUCUGUAAUAAAUAAUCACUAGGAUCCAGAUUAGCAAUUUGUAAUAGUUUGUAAGCACUGUGAACUGAGUAUGUACCAGUCGGUUUACCCCUUUAGACUUGAAAAUCUUCGUGGUUAGAUUCUGAUAAUGAGAUUUGUAAGAUUGAUCAAGUCACCCUUGGCUGAAAGGUAUUGCUAAUUAACUUUGCCCUCCAUUUCCUAUUAGUAUUAUCAAUAAGAUCCGAAACUAACUUUAUCUGCAUAUUUUUUGAAUUGUUUGGCCUUUCCAAUGAAUCAAUCCCCUGAAUCCAGCAAUCAUCCCAAAUGAAUACCUUAUUUCCUCGUCCAAUUCUCCAGCAUAAUCCUUUUUUAAGGAGACCAUUGGCUGCCCAAAUGCUCUUUCAGGUAAGUGAAGGUAAAGUUCCUAACUGAGCCUUUAAGAAAUUCGAUCUCGGAUAGUAUUUCACUUUCAAAACCCUGGCUAAUAAUGAACAAGGAUAACUAAUCAAACACCAACCUUGUUUAGCAAAUAACGUAAUAUUAAAUUAACUUAAAUUACGAAAACCUAAGCCACUAUUUUCUUUUAAAAAACAAAGGUUUUUCCAAGUACACCAAUGAAUUCCCCUCUUCCCCCAACCCUGCUGCCACCAAUACUUUGCUAAAAUACUUUCAAGCUCCUCACAUAGCGAUUUUAAAAAACAUGCCAUCGAAUAGGUUAGAACAGCUUGCAAAAUUACUAGUACUCCAGUUAUUUAUUCGUUUUUUAAUACGGUCUUUCAAAUUCUGAAAUGCAUCCUUUUUCCUCCUCCCUACCAUAUUUGGCAAACCAAGAUACCUCUCUAGCUCGUUAAAGCUACGAACACCCAGCAAAUUGACUACCCAAUUCUUUUUUUCCUCUGAAGUGUUCUUACUGAAGAAAACCGUUGAUUUAUGAAAAUUCACACAUUGACCCGAGCAACUUCUGUAUUCUUACAAAAUACUUUUUAAUACUUGUGCCCCCUUCUUGUGGCCUAUCUGAAUAAAAUGCAAUCAUCUGUAAAUAAUAGAUGCGAAAUUGAAGGACCGUUUCUACUUACUUUCACUCCUUUCGAAAGCCUUUCUCUUACUCCUAGUCGCAUUAAACUGGAUAAACCCUCACCACAUAACAGAAAUAAGAAAGGACUUAAUGGGUCUCCCUGUCAGAGUCAUCUUAUUGGCUGGAACUUUCCUUCUAAUUGUCUAUUCAAAAUCACUGAAUAAAAGACUGUAGAAACACACUUCAUAAUCGUCUCAAUCCAUCUUGCUGCAAAACCUAUCCGAGUCUUAACUUGCUCUAGAAAAUCCCAUUCCACUUUAUCAUGUGCUUUGCUCAUGUCAAGUUUCACUGCCAUGAACCCUUUCUUCCCCAUCCUCUUUUGCUUUAACGUGUUCAAAACUUCAUAAGCUAACAACACAUUAUCAGAAAUUAAACGUCCCAGCACAAAAGCACUCUAUGCAUCAUCGAUAAAUUUGCCAAUUAUAGCUCGAAAACGGUUCGCAAUAACCUUUGCCAAAAUUUUAUAUAGCAAAUUACAUAGGCUAAUUAGACGAAAAUGCAUUAAAUUAAACGGGUUAGCAAUUUUUAGAAUGAGCACAGUAUUUGUAAAAUUUAGUAAACUAACCUCCAUGCUACCAUUCAAGAGUAGUAAGC